Molecule: transfer RNA, 73 nt
Filed under: Bacteroidaceae bacterium
Lineage: Bacteria; Pseudomonadati; Bacteroidota; Bacteroidia; Bacteroidales; Bacteroidaceae
Description: tRNA-Asn
Rfam family: tRNA
About the family: Transfer RNA (tRNA) molecules are approximately 80 nucleotides in length. Their secondary structure includes four short double-helical elements and three loops (D, anti-codon, and T loops).
Source: RNAcentral
CUUCAGUAGCUCAGUUGGUUAGAGCACAUGACUGUUAAUCAUGGGGUCGUUGGUUCAAGCCCAUCCUGAAGCG